AUACUUCCCUGGAAGGAGAGAUACCAUGAUCAUGAAGGUGAUUUUCCAAGGGUGAGGCUUAUCCAUUACAUUCCUGUUGUGCCGACCCCUGCAACUUCCCCAAAUAUGGGAAACUCGACUGCAUAAUUUGUGGUGGGGGGACUGCAUUUGUGCUCUCCCCUG
Prolemur simus (greater bamboo lemur) is the source of this 162-nucleotide small nuclear RNA. Its record names the gene U1. It matches the Rfam family "U1 spliceosomal RNA". Rfam says of the family: U1 is a small nuclear RNA (snRNA) component of the spliceosome (involved in pre-mRNA splicing). Its 5' end forms complementary base pairs with the 5' splice junction, thus defining the 5' donor site of an intron. Lineage: Eukaryota; Metazoa; Chordata; Mammalia; Primates; Lemuridae. The record is from Ensembl.